GGCGGGAUUCCCGAGCGGUCAAAGGGGUGUGGCUGUAAACCACAUGGCACUGCCUUCCCAGGUUCGAAUCCUGGUCCCGCCA
This 82-nucleotide transfer RNA is filed under the name Solirubrobacterales bacterium. RNAcentral's name for it is "tRNA-Tyr". It matches the Rfam family "tRNA". Rfam says of the family: Transfer RNA (tRNA) molecules are approximately 80 nucleotides in length. RNAcentral also lists the same sequence under 2 other names. Lineage: Bacteria; Bacillati; Actinomycetota; Thermoleophilia; Solirubrobacterales. The record is from RNAcentral.